Molecule: ribosomal RNA, 301 nt
Filed under: uncultured bacterium
Lineage: Bacteria
Description: partial 16S ribosomal RNA
Rfam family: Bacterial small subunit ribosomal RNA
Source: RNAcentral
CAGCCGCCGCGGGAAAACGUAGGGUGCAAGCGUUAAUCGGAAUUACUGGGCGUAAAGCGUGCGCAGGCGGUUAUAUAAGACAGAUGUGAAAUCCCCGGGCUCAACCUGGGAACUGCAUUUGUGACUGUAUAGCUAGAGUACGGCAGAGGGGGAUGGAAUUCCGCGUGUAGCAGUGAAAUGCGUAGAUAUGCGGAGGAACACCGAUGGCGAAGGCAAUCCCCUGGGCCUGUACUGACGCUCAUGCACGAAAGCGUGGGGAGCAAACAGGAUUAGAUACCCCGGUAGUCCCUGUCUCUUAUAA